This 815-nucleotide unclassified non-coding RNA is filed under the name Hevea brasiliensis (rubber tree). Lineage: Eukaryota; Viridiplantae; Streptophyta; Magnoliopsida; Malpighiales; Euphorbiaceae. The record is from RNAcentral.
GUUGUUCCAUUGCCAAUAAUUUCAAACUAAUGCCUUUAAAUAUGUCCAUGUCAUCAACUCCAAGCAACAAUGUCCUUCCUUGAUGAUUAUACUGCUGAACGAGCUCGGCAACUUUUGCCUCCGUCUCAGGGAGACUCAAGACUUGCUGAAGCUGCCCCAUAUGAAUACCCACUGGCAGAAUUUUAAUACUUACAGUCCUGCCGUAGUACUCGAGGCCUAUGUAACCCCUUUUCGACUCAUAAGAAAUGCCUAACAUCCGACUGCAACAUGAGAGGAAGUGCCUCGCAUAGUCAAAAGUGUGGAACCCAAUCAAAUCCGAAUUCAAGAGAGCUCGUAAGAUUUCUUCACGAAUAGGCAAUGUUUUAUAUAUCUCGGAAGAAGGAAAAGGGCUAUGCAGGAAAAAUCCAAGCUUUACUCUAUUGAAUCUUUUCCUCAAGAAGGUAGGCAGUACCAUGAGAUGAUAGUCAUGAACCCACACAAAGUCAUCUUCCGGAUUGAUCACUUCCAUGAUCCUAUCAGCAAAAAUUUUGUUUACAGAAACAUAAGCCUGCCAUAGUAAUCGAUUAAAUCGACCACCUAGAUCAGGCGAAAGGGGCAACAUAUAGUGGAACAAAGGCCAAAGCUGCUGCUUACAAAAUCCAUGGUAGUACUUAGUAAACAGAUCAGGAGGUACAAAAGUGGGAACACACUUAAAUGUCUCGAGAAGUAUUUGUGAAACUUCAUCUUGCUCAUUCGGGUGGAUUUCUUCCUUAAGACAACCAACAUAUAUAACCUCAAUUUCAUCAUCUCCUAAACCAUCUUUCAGCUGGAGAAGA